Nycticebus coucang (slow loris) is the source of this 82-nucleotide small nucleolar RNA. RefSeq annotates it as small nucleolar RNA ZL8. Lineage: Eukaryota; Metazoa; Chordata; Mammalia; Primates; Lorisidae. The record is from RefSeq and is a predicted model, not a curated record. The transcript has a single exon.
CAGUGAUAAUGAUGACUUGGAUGGACUAGAGUCUCUGAGCUUUUUUUUCUGAGGAUCUUUGGAACCACCUGAUCCACUCACU